AUCAAAAGUUUGGUAAAAAUGUUUAUGUAUGAAAAAUAAUUUUUGAUCUAUAUAUUUUCUCUAUACAUACUAUAAUUAUUCGAUGAAGUGUGUCCAAUUGACCUAUCAUUCACUACAUGUCAUGACAUAUAAAUACCAACAAGGUCAAAGAGAUGGUUUGUGUAGAAAAGGAAAUGAGGAAAACUUGGCUCUGGUUCAACUUCAAUAGUUCAUUUCUUCUUCCUACCAAGAGCUUCAACUUCAAGAACUCAUUUUUAUUUUCAUCUAAAUGCAGUUCUCUUAAUGUUAGAAACAAAGGGAGUAGAAGUGGAUUGGUGAAUCUUUACAAGGAUAUGGAGGCUUGUGCAGGAUACAAUGAUAUACAAGUUAUGUGGGAGAUGAUUCACUCCAAUGUCAAUGAAACCAAAUGCAAGAAAAAGCCUCUUUGUUGGAGAUUUCUUAACAAAAUUAGAGUUUAAUACAUAUAGAAUGUGCUUGUUUCUUUCUCAAAGGAAUUCAGACCUCAUUAAGUAUAAGUCCGACACAAGUGAUACGAGUUUGCUUAGACAUCAUCAAGUUUUUUUGAUUAUGUCCUCUGUUCCAUCAUUGUGCAUUGGAUGGACGAUGAGGGCUAUAGUUGGUGGAGUCACAUAUAAGUCAUAAGUGGAAUGGAACUUUUGAAUUGUGGGUACAUGAUCCUUCCUUUAAAUGUGAGAUGACCUAUUGCUCUUGCAAUUUGGGAUCCUCAUUUUGAUCAUCAAUAUUUGACUUCUUCUUUAA
Solanum lycopersicum (tomato) is the source of this 759-nucleotide long non-coding RNA. RefSeq lists it as uncharacterized. The record is from RefSeq and is a predicted model, not a curated record. Lineage: Eukaryota; Viridiplantae; Streptophyta; Magnoliopsida; Solanales; Solanaceae.